UACGGGGGGGGCAAGCGUUGUUCGGAAUUACUGGGCGUAAAGGGCGCGUAGGCGGUUUGCUAAGUUGAAUGUGAAAACUCUGGGCUUAACCCAGAGCCUGCAUUCAAUACUGGUAGGCUAGAGUUCUGGAGGGGAUAGCGGAAUUCCUGGUGUAGCGGUGAAAUGCGUAGAUAUCAGGAGGAACACCGGUGGCGAAGGCGGCUAUCUGGACAGAGUCUGACGCUGAGGCGCGAAAGCUAGGGGAGCAAACAGG
RNAcentral lists this ribosomal RNA (253 nucleotides) under uncultured bacterium. RNAcentral describes it as "partial 16S ribosomal RNA". It matches the Rfam family "Bacterial small subunit ribosomal RNA", at positions 524 to 776 of the family's 1533-position model. The record is from RNAcentral.